GACGAACGCUGGCGGCGUGCUUAACACAUGCAAGUCGAACGGAAAGGCCCUGCUUUUGUGGGGUGCUCGAGUGGCGAACGGGUGAGUAACACGUGAGUAACCUGCCCUUGACUUUGGGAUAACUUCAGGAAACUGGGGCUAAUACCGGAUAGGAGCUCCUGCUGCAUGGUGGGGGUUGGAAAGUUUCGGCGGUUGGGGAUGGACUCGCGGCUUAUCAGCUUGUUGGUGGGGUAGUGGCUUACCAAGGCUUUGACGGGUAGCCGGCCUGAGAGGGUGACCGGCCACAUUGGGGCUGAGAUACGGCCCAGACGCCUACGGGAGGCAGCAGUGGGGAAUAUUGCACAAUGGGCGGAAGCCUGAUGCAGCAACGCCGCGUGCGGGAUGACGGCCUUCGGGUUGUAAACCGCUUUCGCCUGUGACGAAGCGUGAGUGACGGUAAUGGGUAAAGAAGCACCGGCUAACUACGUG
Molecule: ribosomal RNA, 468 nt
Filed under: uncultured bacterium
Lineage: Bacteria
Description: partial 16S ribosomal RNA
Rfam family: Bacterial small subunit ribosomal RNA
Source: RNAcentral